AGAGUUUGAUCCUGGCUUAGGAUGAACGCUAGCGGCAGGCUUAACACAUGCAAGUCGAGGGGCAGCGCGGGUAGCAAUACCUGGCGGCGACCGGCGAAAGGGUGCGUAACGCGUGAGCAACAUCCCGUUUUGGGGGGAUAAGCAGUGGAAACGCUGUCUAAUACCCCAUAACAACAGAGGCUGCAUGACCUUUGUUUAAAAGAUUCGUCGAAAGCGGAUUGGCUCGCGUGGCAUUAGCUAGUCGGCGGGGUAACGGCCCACCGAGGCGACGAUGCCUAGGGGUUCUGAGAGGAAGACCCCCCACAUUGGGACUGAGACACGGCCCAAACUCCUACGGGAGGCAGCAGUGAGGAAUAUUGGUCAAUGGACGGAAGUCUGAACCAGCCAUGCCGCGUGAAGGAUGACUGCCCCUAUGGGUUGUAAACUUCUUUUGUGACAGAGCAAUAAGGCGUACGUGUACGCCGAUGAGAGUAUGCCACGAAUAAGCAUCGGCCAACUCCGUGCCAGCAGCUGC
This 514-nucleotide ribosomal RNA is filed under the name uncultured bacterium. Its description in RNAcentral is "bacterial SSU rRNA". It matches the Rfam family "Bacterial small subunit ribosomal RNA", at positions 8 to 518 of the family's 1533-position model. The record is from RNAcentral.